This is a long non-coding RNA of Orbicella faveolata, 850 nucleotides long. The record is from RefSeq and is a predicted model, not a curated record. NCBI's taxonomy places the organism in Eukaryota, Metazoa, Cnidaria, Anthozoa, Scleractinia, Merulinidae.
UUUUUUUUUUCCCGAAAGGUGGAGUAUUCAAUGAAUAUAAUGUAUCUGCUCCAUACCUGUGGAAAUCCAAUGUAAAUUGCAGUUACUUUUCUCCUCAAAAUUGUGGCAUUUGAGAAUCUCUCUCCCUGUACGUGGAUCUCACAUGGAUAUUUUCUUGAACUGUUCAGAUUCUAAAUUGUUUUAGUUAUUUAUACCAGUACCUAAUAAUCGAAAGGUAUUUUUAAAGGUCUGCUCACAUGACUCCAAUUGCCAAGGGCUAGUACAAUGGUAUUCAAUUAAUUCAUUAAUGUCUUAUUAGUAUAUCCAUGAAGAAGAAGAAGUGAGGAGGCCACUAUAAUUUUAAUGAAGAAGCUGAUACGAGCUGAAAGGUGUGGCAUUGGAAGGAGGAGAGGACAGGUAUAACAGAAAUCAAUUUAAUCAGGCUUCCAGUGAUGCUCUUGGUGGAGACAGAAGUAUUCCAGACACAAGAAACUCACAUAUUUGAAAUACAAGUCCUCCAAGCUUAACAAAAGAAAUAAUAUUGACCAGUGGAUGAUUACAGUGACCAUUCUGCUAAUGGAGAACUCUUGGUUGGACUUCCGAAAGGAAACUGAAGUUCUUAGAAAUGACAGAAGAGAAGGUACAAAGUUAUAUUGGCACUUUAAAAACAUUGUGCUAACUACAAAAUUUAAGACGGAUUGUUAUGAACAGUUUUAGUUUCGCUGCGUGAUCUAUGAACAUGAACAGGAACAGCCCGCGAUUUACGAAGAAUGCGUGACUUUGAACAAUGCGUGAUUAUCGAAAUAUGCGUGAUUAUUUUUCUAUGCAUGUUUCUCUGUGGUUUAGCGAUUGCGGUUACCUGUAUGAUGCU